This 253-nucleotide ribosomal RNA is filed under the name uncultured bacterium. RNAcentral's name for it is "partial 16S ribosomal RNA". It matches the Rfam family "Bacterial small subunit ribosomal RNA", at positions 524 to 776 of the family's 1533-position model. The record is from RNAcentral.
UACGAAGGGGGCUAGCGUUGCUCGGAAUCACUGGGCGUAAAGCGCACGUAGGCGGCUUCUUAAGUCAGGGGUGAAAUCCUGGAGCUCAACUCCAGAACUGCCCUUGAUACUGAGGAGCUCGAGUCCGGAAGAGGUGAGUGGAACUCCGAGUGUAGAGGUGAAAUUCGUAGAUAUUCGGAAGAACACCAGUGGCGAAGGCGGCUCACUGGUCCGGUACUGACGCUGAGGUGCGAAAGCGUGGGGAGCAAACAGG